UGGGGAAUAUUGGACAAUGGGCGCAAGCCUGAUCCAGCCAUACCGCGUGGGUGAAGAAGGCCUUCGGGUUGUAAAGCCCUUUUGUUGGGAAAGAAAAGCAGUCGGCUAAUACCCGGUUGUUCUGACGGUACCCAAAGAAUAAGCACCGGCUAACUUCGUGCCAGCAGCCGCGGUAAUACGAAGGGUGCAAGCGUUACUCGGAAUUACUGGGCGUAAAGCGUGCGUAGGUGGUUGUUUAAGUCUGUUGUGAAAGCCCUGGGCUCAACCUGGGAAUUGCAGUGGAUACUGGGCGACUAGAGUGUGGUAGAGGGUAGUGGAAUUCCCGGUGUAGCAGUGAAAUGCGUAGAGAUCGGGAGGAACAUCCAUGGCGAAGGCAGCUACCUGGGCCAACACUGACACUGAGGCACGAAAGCGUGGGGAGCAAACAG
RNAcentral lists this ribosomal RNA (428 nucleotides) under uncultured bacterium. RNAcentral's name for it is "bacterial SSU rRNA". It matches the Rfam family "Bacterial small subunit ribosomal RNA", at positions 355 to 775 of the family's 1533-position model. The record is from RNAcentral.